RNAcentral lists this ribosomal RNA (264 nucleotides) under uncultured Planctomycetota bacterium. Its description in RNAcentral is "uncultured planctomycete partial 16S ribosomal RNA". It matches the Rfam family "Bacterial small subunit ribosomal RNA", at positions 567 to 828 of the family's 1533-position model. The record is from RNAcentral. Lineage: Bacteria; Pseudomonadati; Planctomycetota.
AGCACGUAGGUGGGUUUGUAAGUCAGAUGUGGAAGCCUCCUGUUCAACGGGAGAAUUGCAUCUGAAACUACUGAUCUUGAGUGUAGGAGGGGAGAAUGGAACUUCUGGUGGAGCGGUGAAAUGCGUAGAUAUCAGAAGGAACGCCGGCGGCGAAAGCGACUCUCUGGCCUAUUACUGACACUCAGUGUGCGAAAGCUAGGGGAGCAAACGGGAUUAGAUACCCCGGUAGUCCUAGCUGUAAACGAUGGGCACUAAGUAGAGGGG